This 237-nucleotide ribosomal RNA is filed under the name uncultured bacterium. RNAcentral describes it as "partial 16S ribosomal RNA". It matches the Rfam family "Bacterial small subunit ribosomal RNA", at positions 99 to 334 of the family's 1533-position model. The record is from RNAcentral.
CGAACGGGUGAGUAACGCGUGAGGAACCUGCCUCAAAGAGGGGGACAACAGUUGGAAACGACUGCUAAUACCGCAUAAGCCCACGGCUCGGCAUCGAGCAGAGGGAAAAGGAGCAAUCCGCUUUGAGAUGGCCUCGCGUCCGAUUAGCUAGUUGGUGAGGUAACGGCCCACCAAGGCGACGAUCGGUAGCCGGACUGGGAGGUUGAACGGCCACAUUGGGACUGAGGCACGGUCCAG